Molecule: long non-coding RNA, 499 nt
Organism: Bos taurus (domestic cattle)
Lineage: Eukaryota; Metazoa; Chordata; Mammalia; Artiodactyla; Bovidae
Source: Ensembl
UAGGUGGUAGUGAAUUUUUAAGCCUCAGUGAGUGGGAAGUCAGGUGGACCCAUGUUGUAAGAGAGGACGUGCUUCAUUGGGUCAUCCAUAGUCUACCUGGCUGUCUCCCCCAGAGAGAAGGCAUAUUCUCCAGGCCUCGGGUAUCAGCAGACAUGCAACUCUGCACAUCGAUCCAUCAUAGGAUUCAAGGGCAUCCACGUGGAGUCCACCAGCAAAUCACUGAGUGACAGAGUGGAGGCUGGCAGCAGGAUCCAGCUGCAUUUGGAGCUAACUGCAUCUCAUUUGUUUACAAGCAUUUAACUAAAAUUCCUCAUGGAGAAGGAAAUGACAACACACUCCAGUACCCUGGCCUGGAGAAUUCCAAGGACGGAGCCUGAUGAGGAAACCAAGAGGUUACAAACUCAGCUCAAACCUACAUUGUUGCAUAUCCAGUCUGACUGAUAUGGACUGAUGUGUCACUGAACUGCCUACAUUUUCUUUGAAUAAAUGAAUAUGUGAG